GUUAUAAGAUUUCCUCAUGCGUUUACAGGAAAGAAAGUUUAUUUUUAACCACUAACCCAGUGUGUUGAGUUUCAUCUCGCAAGGUGAUAAGCGUUUAUGACACUGUUUAUGUGAGUGAUUGCUUUUAUUUUGUUUAUGAAAGUUUAAAUAACUUAGUUUGAACCGAGUUCGCUGCACCGCGCAACACGAAGACAUGUGAGUUCAUCAGAGAUCAAAGUGAGAGAACUGUGUGCAUCGAAGAGUAUUGGAGUGAUCUUUAAACAUCGAUGGAGUUUGAAUAAACUACAGACGCCGAGAUAGAAGAUUUGCUGUUGAUUCAGCGGACUGCUGAGAGUGGUUACGGGCAAAUCGCUGAUCUACGUGGAGUUUGUGGAUGAUCGUUUGGGUUCGUUUGGAUUCCAAAGAGGAGUUCAGGUGAGGACCAACAUGAUUGAGUACUUAGAAAACGCAGAGGCCAAUCAACCAUUUCCACACAUUGUGUGCUUGGGGGAUGAGACGACGACGUGCCAAGCCUUCACCAUUAUUUCAGGCCACACCAUUGAAACUGAGUCUUUGUUUGGAGCUGUGGACCUGCGUUUCAAGACUUUUUUUGUCUUUGACAUUAAUUACACCAAGCAGUGCGUCCCCACAUGGGAGUUUCUGAAGCACGGCCUGUACCAUAUUGAUGGACAUGAGUCCUCAUCUGUUAAGUUUUUGAGGACAUCAGUUUGUUCAAUCCGCAUUUAGGAUUCCCAAACCAGCAUAUCACGAAGUGCAUUCUGGGUUGAGCGAGCGGCACUGAGCGGCCUGAGCGAGCGGAGCGGAAUCUUCAAAAAGGCGCUCUCCGCUCAGGUGAAAUUAUCACCGCUCCACUUUGCUCACAUGCUCUGCCCUGUACACACUUGAAUAAAGAUCAUUUUUAAGGAAGGACUUAAUUAUAAUAAUAAUUGUAUUUAUUUAUCACACAUAUACAGUGAAAUUCUUUUUUUCACAUAUCCCAGCUAAGCUGGGGGUCAGAGUGCAGGGUCAGCCAUGAUACAGUGCCCCUGGAGCAGAUAGGGUCAAGGGCUUUGUUCAAGGGCCCAACAGCAGCAUCUUGGCAGUACUGGGGCUUGAACCCCUGACCUUCUGAUCAGUCACCUAGAGCCUUAACCACUGAGCCACCACUGCCCAUAAUCACCGCAAUCACCACAAUCACACCAAGUAUGAUUGCUUUCCUUGGCAAUGUAAUUGAGUACAAGUAGCCUGUUCUCAAUAAUACUCAAGUAAAGUAUAAAUAACACUUAAGUAAUAAAGCACUUUACACCACUGGUUUGCAAACACUGUUUCACUGAUUAACUCAUUGUUUUCACGAUAAAUUAAUUCCAGAUUAUUUCCAAACCCAGGCUUUCCAGUGAAGCAGUGCAUGAAAAACCUGAGAUGGGCAGAAAUACUCUUUACAAGAGCAGUUUCCUCCUUGGUAUUCAUCUAAAAAACAUCAGCCAUUGUAUACAUUUUCCAUUAGGUCCUCGUGGUGGCACGGUUACUCACCUCAAUCUGGGUGGUAGAGGAGAAGUCUCAGUUGCCUCCACUUCUGAGACAGUCAAUCUGCACAUCUUAUCAAGUGGCUCACUGUGCAUGACACCGCAGUGACUCACAGCAUGUGGAGCAAUGCACAACUUACCACGUGCCCUAUUGAGACUGAGAACCCCUAAUCAUGAUCGUGAGGAGGUUACCCCAUUUGACUCUACCUUCCCUAGUAACUGGGACAAUCUGGUUGCUUAGGAGACCUGGCUGGUGUCACUCAGCACACCCUGGAUUCAAACUCAUGACUCCAGGUGUGGUAGUCAGCAUCAAUACCCGCUGAGCUACCCAGGCCCCCUGUGAGUCACUUCUAAAACUCAUAUUGUAAGGCAAAUACUCAGAUGUCAGCACUGAAACAGCACUGGAUUAAUGACCUGGAUUUCUGCAUUUAAAACCUACAAUUUGUCUGACUGAAGUCUUUAGAAACUCUUCUAACCCUAUACAUUGUUAUGAGCUUAAAAAACUAUAACUCUUACUGGAUCAUGUAUUUUUUUCAUUGCUUGUACUUUUACACUGUUACUGUACUUAAGGACAUUUUUCAAGUACCUGCAUGUUUUCAGAGUAUUUUAACCAACACAAAAUAUGUAUCGUUUUAAAGUUUAGAAGCUAUAAUUUAUAAUGCAUGUAGCCAUUAUGCCCAUAACUGAUCAAGUGCUUUGAAAUGUUCCGAUUUGAUAAUUUAUUAAUAAUUUUGGACUGUACAUUUUAUUGUAAUCAGUAAAAACAUCAAUCUCAUCAAAUAGCCAUGUGUCAUAUGUUGUUGGAAAGCUCUCAAAGAGUAGAAAACAACCAACCAGCCUCUUUGUUUUACUCACUGACAAAAAUAUAGCGAGUAAUAGCUAAGUAUAUGUCUUUGACAAUUAUGUUGGUGUUGCUUAUAUGCCGCAUUUUCGCUUAUAACUUCAUGAAAAAUAAACGGAACAUAAAAUAUCACUUACACUACUUGAUUAUCAUUCAAACAAGCCCCCACACAAUGUAAUCGGAUGUAUAGAACGUUAGAUAAUCCACAUGAAGCACAAUGGCCACCAGGAGAUGGUGCCAAAUACAUGACAAAGACUCAAUGAUGACUCAUAUGGCACAGAAUGAAACUCAUUCUUUAAAAUCUCUUUAAUAAAAUCAUGUAUGCAUGCUAUGCAAACCUUUAGUCAUUGUUGUGUUUGCAUGUGUAAUUAGU
Molecule: long non-coding RNA, 2716 nt
Organism: Myxocyprinus asiaticus (Chinese sucker)
Lineage: Eukaryota; Metazoa; Chordata; Actinopteri; Cypriniformes; Catostomidae
Exons: 4
Source: RefSeq, a predicted model, not a curated record